Molecule: transfer RNA, 58 nt
Filed under: Heliconema longissimum
Lineage: Eukaryota; Metazoa; Nematoda; Chromadorea; Rhabditida; Physalopteridae
Description: tRNA-Ala
Source: RNAcentral
GUAUAUUUAUUAUAAAUUUUAAUAUAAUUAUUUUGCAUAUAAUUGAUUUAUAUAUACG